RNAcentral lists this ribosomal RNA (498 nucleotides) under uncultured bacterium. RNAcentral's name for it is "bacterial SSU rRNA". It matches the Rfam family "Bacterial small subunit ribosomal RNA", at positions 29 to 518 of the family's 1533-position model. The record is from RNAcentral.
AAUGAACGUUGGCGGCGUGGAUUAGGCAUGCAAGUCGAGCGAGAAUUUGCGAUUGGAAGCUUCGGCCGAAGAAAGUGAAGGAAAGCGGCAAACGGCGUAGUAAGGCGUAGGUACGUACCCUCGGGUCGGGAAUAGCCAUGGGAAACUGUGGGUAAUGCCCGAUAAUCUCUGCGGAGCAAAGGUGUGAUUCCGCCGGAGGAGCGGCUUACGUGAUAUUAGCUAGUUGGUGGGGUAAUGGCCUACCAAGGCAACGAUGUCUAGGGGGUGUGAGAGCAUGGCCCCCCACGACCGGAACUGAGACACUGUCCGGACACCUACGGGUGGCUGCAGUCGAGAAUCUUCCGCAAUGGGCGAAAGCCUGACGGAGCGACGCCGCGUGGUGGAUGAAGGCCCUUGGGUUGUAAACACCUGUCAGAGGGGAUGAAAUCAUGGUUGGCAAUCCUUCCAUGUUGACAGAGCCUCAGAGGAAGCACGGGCUAAGUACGUGCCAGCAGCCGA